GGCGACGUAGCCAAGUGGUAAGGCAGGGGCCUGCAAAGCCUUCAUCCGGCGGUUCGAUCCCGCCCGUCGCCUCCA
This 75-nucleotide transfer RNA is filed under the name Candidatus Peregrinibacteria bacterium. RNAcentral describes it as "tRNA-Cys". It matches the Rfam family "tRNA". Rfam says of the family: Transfer RNA (tRNA) molecules are approximately 80 nucleotides in length. The record is from RNAcentral. Lineage: Bacteria; Candidatus Peregrinibacteriota.